This is a small nucleolar RNA of Scatophagus argus, 138 nucleotides long. RefSeq annotates it as small nucleolar RNA SNORA17. The record is from RefSeq and is a predicted model, not a curated record. NCBI's taxonomy places the organism in Eukaryota, Metazoa, Chordata, Actinopteri, Scatophagidae. The transcript has a single exon.
CAUGCCCCUUGAGGCGUUGCGGUCCGAUAUUGUGUCGAGGCUGUCAUAAGGUGGCAGAGAAUAAAAGGUCUAUGUUAUCAUGUGCGUUCAUUACCUCCAGCAAGUGGGGAUUUGAAGUGAUGGUAGUUUACCUACAGA